This 535-nucleotide ribosomal RNA is filed under the name Cylicolaimus sp. 214386385. RNAcentral describes it as "partial small subunit ribosomal RNA". It matches the Rfam family "Eukaryotic small subunit ribosomal RNA", at positions 78 to 618 of the family's 1831-position model. Lineage: Eukaryota; Metazoa; Nematoda; Enoplea; Enoplida; Leptosomatidae. The record is from RNAcentral.
AUGGCGAAGCCGCGAAUAGCUCAUUACAACAGCCAUAGUUUAUUGGAUCUUCUCUCWUACUUGGAUAUCUGUAAUAAUUUKAGAGCUAAUACACGCUUACRWMCUGMAAGCUCAGGMGAGGAGCGCAUUUAUUAGAACAAAACCAAUCGGGCUWGCCCGUCGUUUGGUGAYUYUGAAUAACUYASUKGAUCGCASGGUCUAGCACYGGCGACAUAUCUUUCAAGUGUCUGCCUUAUCAACUGUCGAUGGUAGUUUAYAUGMCUACCAUGGUUGUAACGGGUAACGGAGAAUCAGGGUUCGACUCCGGAGAGGGAGCCUGAGAAACGGCUACCACAUCCAAGGAAGGCAGCAGGCGCGCAAAUUACCCACUCUCAGCUCGGGGAGGUAGUGACGAAAAAUAACGAGACGGUUCUCUAUGAGGUCCGUCAUCGGAAUGGGUACAAUUUAAACCCUUUAACGAGGAUCUAUUGGAGGGCAAGUCUGGUGCCAGCAGCCGCGGUAAUUCCAGCUCCAAUAGCGUAUAUAAAGUUGUUGC